UAUUAAACAGUAUUAGCGUACAAAGAAUUUUGAAUUCUUAAGAAGGAUUACUCACCUUUUAAUAA
This 65-nucleotide transfer RNA is filed under the name Cipangopaludina cathayensis. Its description in RNAcentral is "tRNA-Gln". Lineage: Eukaryota; Metazoa; Mollusca; Gastropoda; Architaenioglossa; Viviparidae. The record is from RNAcentral.